AAGUCGUAACAAGGUUUCCGUAGGUGAACCUGCGGAAGGAUCAUUAACACAACAAAACUGUUCUUUUUUCGACGGUGUAAAAGCCGGAGAAGAAACUACUUUUAUCAAGAAACUCGUCCAAUGGUGGCUUGCUCUUUAGCAUGACCCUAAAAUAUGAUACCUUUUUAAAUAACGUGUUACCCAUUCAACCCAAUUGUCUGAGCUCAAAAUCUUUUUUUCUUCGUAACUGAAGGAAGAAAGCAUUUCUGUUUUUACGAAAUGUAUUGUACAACUCUUAACAACGGAUAUCUUGGUUCUC
RNAcentral lists this unclassified non-coding RNA (298 nucleotides) under fungal sp. Its description in RNAcentral is "partial internal transcribed spacer region". The stretch from base 1 to 46 matches the Rfam family "Eukaryotic small subunit ribosomal RNA", at positions 1786 to 1831 of the family's 1831-position model. Lineage: Eukaryota; Fungi. The record is from RNAcentral.